ACAUUGGUGGUUCAGUGAUAGAAUUCUCACCUUCCAUGUUGGAGACCUGGGUUCUAUUCCCGGCCAAUGCA
This 71-nucleotide transfer RNA is filed under the name Loxodonta africana (African savanna elephant). It matches the Rfam family "tRNA". Rfam says of the family: Transfer RNA (tRNA) molecules are approximately 80 nucleotides in length. Lineage: Eukaryota; Metazoa; Chordata; Mammalia; Proboscidea; Elephantidae. The record is from Rfam by way of RNAcentral.